This 385-nucleotide ribosomal RNA is filed under the name uncultured bacterium. Its description in RNAcentral is "bacterial SSU rRNA". It matches the Rfam family "Bacterial small subunit ribosomal RNA", at positions 28 to 404 of the family's 1533-position model. The record is from RNAcentral.
GACGAACGCUGGCGGCGUGCUUAACACAUGCAAGUCGAACGGAUCUUCUUGUUGUAGUAAUACAGCGGGUUGGUUAGUGGCGAACGGGUGAGUAACACGUGAGAAACCUGCCCUGAAGACGGGGAUAACUGACCGAAAGGUCUGCUAAUACCCGAUGUCCUCAUUUGAUCGCAUGGUUGGGUGAGGAAAUGGAUUCCGCUUUAGGAGGGUCUCGCGGGCUAUCAGCUUGUUGGUGAGGUAAUGGCUCACCAAGGCGACGACGGCUAGCUGGUCUGAGAGGACGACCAGCCACACUGGGACUGAGACACGGCCCAGACUCCUACGGGAGGCAGCAGUGGGGAAUCUUGCGCAAUGGGCGAAAGCCUGACGCAGCAACGCCGCGUGU